Molecule: ribosomal RNA, 465 nt
Filed under: Vreelandella stevensii
Lineage: Bacteria; Pseudomonadati; Pseudomonadota; Gammaproteobacteria; Oceanospirillales; Halomonadaceae
Description: partial 16S ribosomal RNA
Rfam family: Bacterial small subunit ribosomal RNA
Source: RNAcentral
CCUACGGGAGGCAGCAGUGGGGAAUAUUGGACAAUGGGGGGAACCCUGAUCCAGCCAUGCCGCGUGUGUGAAGAAGGCCCUCGGGUUGUAAAGCACUUUCAGUGAGGAAGAACGCCUGGUGGUUAAUACCCAUCAGGAAAGACAUCACUCACAGAAGAAGCACCGGCUAACUCCGUGCCAGCAGCCGCGGUAAUACGGAGGGUGCGAGCGUUAAUCGGAAUUACUGGGCGUAAAGCGCGCGUAGGUGGCUUGAUAAGCCGGUUGUGAAAGCCCCGGGCUCAACCUGGGAACGGCAUCCGGAACUGUCAAGCUAGAGUGCAGGAGAGGAAGGUAGAAUUCCCGGUGUAGCGGUGAAAUGCGUAGAGAUCAGGAGGAAUACCAGUGGCGAAGGCGGCCUUCUGGACUGACACUGACACUGAGGUGCGAAAGCGUGGGUAGCAAACAGGAUUAGAUACCCUAGUAGUC